RNAcentral lists this ribosomal RNA (405 nucleotides) under uncultured bacterium. Its description in RNAcentral is "partial 16S ribosomal RNA". It matches the Rfam family "Bacterial small subunit ribosomal RNA", at positions 28 to 525 of the family's 1533-position model. The record is from RNAcentral.
GAUGAACGCUAGCUACAGGCUUAACACAUGCAAGUCGAGGGACCGGCGCACGGGUGAGUAACACGUAUCCACCCUACCCUUUACGCUUGGAUAGCCUUUCGAAAGACAAAUUCAUACCAUAUAUAAAGAAUGGGGGUUCGUUCCUUUAGGUUGUUGGUGAGGUAACGCCCCCCCAAGCCUUCGAUGGCUAGUGGUUCUGAGAGGAAGGACCCCCACAGUGGAACUGAGACCAGGGCCAAACGCCUACGGGAGGCAGCAGUUAUGAAUAAUGGGCAAUGGGCGUUAGCCUGAACCAGCCAAGUAGCGUGAAGGAUGAAGGCUUAUGGGUCGUAAACUUCUUUUAUAUAAGAAUAUUUAUUAUAUGAAUAAGCAUCGGCUAAUUCCGUGCCAGCCGCCGCGUUAAUA